This is a long non-coding RNA of Mustela lutreola (European mink), 608 nucleotides long. RefSeq lists it as uncharacterized. The transcript has 3 exons. Lineage: Eukaryota; Metazoa; Chordata; Mammalia; Carnivora; Mustelidae. The record is from RefSeq and is a predicted model, not a curated record.
CCGCCCCCAGCAGACUGACUGCCAACCACUGGCAGCAGAGACAAGCCAUCGCAGCCCGGCCUUGCCCAACUCGUCAACCCAGAGAACUGCGAGGCAUUGAAGCAUUCUAGUUUGAAGCCACUGUUCCAGAGUGUGUGUUAUGGAGCAAAAGAUAAUCAAGGUCAACCAGGUGAGGCAGACAUGGUUACCUUCAUUUACCCUUGACAGAGGAAAGCACUGAGGCACGAGAAAGAGAAGGAACUUGACCAAGAUGGCAGAACAGGAGCCACCAGGAUUACCUGCUGCAUAUUAAACUGUUCUUUUGGUGAUUUAAUACUGUGGAGGGACGGCCUGAACUGAGCUUGAGGUAAAUCUUUGUUCUGAGACUCACCCUCUUGAACGGACCACUCCUCACAGAGCCCCCUGACAGAAAACUUUCCCAGGGCCUCUGUAGGGACUCUCCAUAGCUUCCAAGUUCCCUUUAACUUCAAUUUGUUUUAAAGUAGCACAUUCCUUUGACUGCUGGGAGAGGUUGUUUACUUCCCACAAACAAAUGCCCUUCUGGAGGCUGGCAAGACAGACCCUUGGUUUUUUGAUUGUUCGUUUUUUAAACAAUGUAUUUAUUUAUU